RNAcentral lists this ribosomal RNA (869 nucleotides) under Enterobacter sp. RNAcentral's name for it is "bacterial SSU rRNA". It matches the Rfam family "Bacterial small subunit ribosomal RNA", at positions 588 to 1457 of the family's 1533-position model. Lineage: Bacteria; Pseudomonadati; Pseudomonadota; Gammaproteobacteria; Enterobacterales; Enterobacteriaceae. The record is from RNAcentral.
UCGGAUGUGAAAUCCCCGGGCUCAACCUGGGAACUGCAUUCGAAACUGGCAGGCUAGAGUCUUGUAGAGGGGGGUAGAAUUUCCAGGUGUAGCGGUGAAAUGCGUAGAGAUCUGGAGGAAUACCGGUGGCGAAGGCGGCCCCCUGGACAAAGACUGACGCUCAGGUGCGAAAGCGUGGGGAGCAAACAGGAUUAGAUACCCUGGUAGUCCACGCCGUAAACGAUGUCGACUUGGAGGUUGUGCCCUUGAGGCGUGGCUUCCGGAGCUAACGCGUUAAGUCGACCGCCUGGGGAGUACGGCCGCAAGGUUAAAACUCAAAUGAAUUGACGGGGGCCCGCACAAGCGGUGGAGCAUGUGGUUUAAUUCGAUGCAACGCGAAGAACCUUACCUACUCUUGACAUCCAGAGAACUUUCCAGAGAUGGAUUGGUGCCUUCGGGAACUCUGAGACAGGUGCUGCAUGGCUGUCGUCAGCUCGUGUUGUGAAAUGUUGGGUUAAGUCCCGCAACGAGCGCAACCCUUAUCCUUUGUUGCCAGCGGUCCGGCCGGGAACUCAAAGGAGACUGCCAGUGAUAAACUGGAGGAAGGUGGGGAUGACGUCAAGUCAUCAUGGCCCUUACGAGUAGGGCUACACACGUGCUACAAUGGCGCAUACAAAGAGAAGCGACCUCGCGAGAGCAAGCGGACCUCAUAAAGUGCGUCGUAGUCCGGAUUGGAGUCUGCAACUCGACUCCAUGAAGUCGGAAUCGCUAGUAAUCGUAGAUCAGAAUGCUACGGUGAAUACGUUCCCGGGCCUUGUACACACCGCCCGUCACACCAUGGGAGUGGGUUGCAAAAGAAGUAGGUAGCUUAACCUUCGGGAGGGCGCUAC